GACGAACGCUGGCGGCGUGCUUAACACAUGCAAGUCGAACGAUGAAACCUAGCUUGCUAGGUCGAUUAGUGGCGAACGGGUGAGUAACACGUGACUAACCUGUCCCUUUCUCUGGGAUAACGCUCCGAAAGGAGUGCUAAUACCGGAUACUCACAUCGAGGCACAUGCCUUGGUGUGGAAAGUUUUUCGGAAAGGGAUGGAGUCGCGGCCUAUCAGCUUGUUGGUGAGGUAACGGCUCACCAAGGCGACGACGGGUAGCCGGCCUGAGAGGGCGACCGGCCACACGGGGACUGAGACACGGCCCAGACUCCUACGGGAGGCAGCAGUAGGGAAUACUGCACAAUGGGCGCAAGCCUGAUGCAGCGACGCCGCGUGAGGGAUGAAGGUCUUCGGAUUGUAAACCUCUUUCAGUAGGGACGAAGCGAAAGUGACGGUGCCUAAAGAAGAAGCACCGGCUAACUACGUGCCAGCCGCCGCCGUAA
This 482-nucleotide ribosomal RNA is filed under the name uncultured bacterium. Its description in RNAcentral is "partial 16S ribosomal RNA". It matches the Rfam family "Bacterial small subunit ribosomal RNA", at positions 28 to 523 of the family's 1533-position model. The record is from RNAcentral.